This 1605-nucleotide ribosomal RNA is filed under the name Escherichia coli. RNAcentral's name for it is "partial 23S ribosomal RNA". It matches the Rfam family "Bacterial large subunit ribosomal RNA", at positions 1354 to 2925 of the family's 2925-position model. Lineage: Bacteria; Pseudomonadati; Pseudomonadota; Gammaproteobacteria; Enterobacterales; Enterobacteriaceae. The record is from RNAcentral.
CCUGUCCAACGUUAAUCGGGGCAGGGUGAGUCGACCCCUAAGGCGAGGCCGAAAGGCGUAGUCGAUGGGAAACAGGUUAAUAUUCCUGUACUUGGUGUUACUGCGAAGGGGGGACGGAGAAGGCUAUGUUGGCCGGGCGACGGUUGUCCCGGUUUAAGCGUGUAGGCUGGUUUUCCAGGCAAAUCCGGAAAACCAAGGCUGAGGCGUGAUGACGAGGCACUACGGUGCUGAAGCGACAAAUGCCCUGCUUCCAGGAAAAGCCUCUAAGCAUCAGGUAACAUCAAAUCGUACCCCAAACCGACACAGGUGGUCAGGUAGAGAAUACCAAGGCGCUUGAGAGAACUCGGGUGAAGGAACUAGGCAAAAUGGUGCCGUAACUUCGGGAGAAGGCACGCUGAUAUGUAGGUGAAGCGACUUGCUCGUGGAGCUGAAAUCAGUCGAAGAUACCAGCUGGCUGCAACUGUUUAUUAAAAACACAGCACUGUGCAAACACGAAAGUGGACGUAUACGGUGUGACGCCUGCCCGGUGCCGGAAGGUUAAUUGAUGGGGUUAGCGGCAACGCGAAGCUCUUGAUCGAAGCCCCGGUAAACGGCGGCCGUAACUAUAACGGUCCUAAGGUAGCGAAAUUCCUUGUCGGGUAAGUUCCGACCUGCACGAAUGGCGUAAUGAUGGCCAGGCUGUCUCCACCCGAGACUCAGUGAAAUUGAACUCGCUGUGAAGAUGCAGUGUACCCGCGGCAAGACGGAAAGACCCCGUGAACCUUUACUAUAGCUUGACACUGAACAUUGAGCCUUGAUGUGUAGGAUAGGUGGGAGGCUUUGAAGUGUGGACGCCAGUCUGCAUGGAGCCGACCUUGAAAUACCACCCUUUAAUGUUUGAUGUUCUAACGUUGGCCCCUAAUCGGGGUUGCGGACAGUGUCUGGUGGGUAGUUUGACUGGGGCGGUCUCCUCCUAAAGAGUAACGGAGGAGCACGAAGGUUGGCUAAUCCUGGUCGGACAUCAGGAGGUUAGUGCAAUGGCAUAAGCCAGCUUGACUGCGAGCGUGACGGCGCGAGCAGGUGCGAAAGCAGGUCAUAGUGAUCCGGUGGUUCUGAAUGGAAGGGCCAUCGCUCAACGGAUAAAAGGUACUCCGGGGAUAACAGGCUGAUACCGCCCAAGAGUUCAUAUCGACGGCGGUGUUUGGCACCUCGAUGUCGGCUCAUCACAUCCUGGGGCUGAAGUAGGUCCCAAGGGUAUGGCUGUUCGCCAUUUAAAGUGGUACGCGAGCUGGGUUUAGAACGUCGUGAGACAGUUCGGUCCCUAUCUGCCGUGGGCGCUGGAGAACUGAGGGGGGCUGCUCCUAGUACGAGAGGACCGGAGUGGACGCAUCACUGGUGUUCGGGUUGUCAUGCCAAUGGCACUGCCCGGUAGCUAAAUGCGGAAGAGAUAAGUGCUGAAAGCAUCUAAGCACGAAACUUGCCCCGAGAUGAGUUCUCCCUGAGACUUAGAGUCUCCUGAAGGAACGUUGAAGACGACGACGUUGAUAGGCCGGGUGUGUAAGCGCAGCGAUGCGUUGAGCUAACCGGUACUAAUGAACCGUGAGGCUUAACCUUACAACGCCGAAG